Molecule: ribosomal RNA, 404 nt
Filed under: uncultured bacterium
Lineage: Bacteria
Description: bacterial SSU rRNA
Rfam family: Bacterial small subunit ribosomal RNA
Source: RNAcentral
AAUCAACGCUGGCGGCGUGCCUAACACAUGCAAGUCGAACGCGAAAGGGGCUUCGGUCCGUGAGUAGAGUGGCGUCCGGGUGAGUAACGCGUGGGUAAUCUACCCUUGGGUGGGGAAUAACCAGUCGAAAGAUUGGCUAAUACCGCAUAAUGCAGCGGCUCGACAUCGAGACAGUUGUUAAAGCAGCAAUGCGCCAGAGGAGGAGCCUGCGUCUGAUUAGCUGUUGGCGGGGUAACGGCCCACCAAGGCUAUGACCGGGUAGCUGGUCUGAGAGGAUGGCCAGCCACAUUGGGACUGAGAAACGGCCCAGACUCCUACGGAGGCAGCAGUGGGAAUAUUGCGCAAUGGUCGAAAGACUGACGCAGCGACGCCGCGUGGAGGAUGACGCCUCGGGUGGUAACGUA